AAGAAGAAUUCGGGAGAGACCGUCUAAAAAGACGGCGCCGAAGGGGAAAGGUGGAAACUCUCAGGCAAAAAGACCGGGUUUGGACG
Blautia hydrogenotrophica CAG:147 is the source of this 86-nucleotide regulatory RNA element. It matches the Rfam family "Glycine riboswitch aptamer". From Rfam's summary of the family: This family represents the bacterial glycine riboswitch. Glycine riboswitches usually consist of two metabolite-binding aptamers domains with similar structures in tandem. Lineage: Bacteria; Bacillati; Bacillota; Clostridia; Lachnospirales; Lachnospiraceae. The record is from Rfam.